Amblyraja radiata (thorny skate) is the source of this 1314-nucleotide long non-coding RNA. RefSeq lists it as uncharacterized. Lineage: Eukaryota; Metazoa; Chordata; Chondrichthyes; Rajiformes; Rajidae. The transcript has 2 exons. The record is from RefSeq and is a predicted model, not a curated record.
AGAACAGGGCAAAGAACUCUAAGCUCUUGCAUUACUUGCAGACACAGAAUUACAUCCUAUGCCAACCCUGCACAGGCCAACUGGGGGCUGGAGACCAGAGGAGUUGUUCCAGGCCUCCCAUCCAAGAGUGUUCGACUAGGUCUCAGGGUCGGACGAAUGUUUUUGUGCCGGCUUUGCUCUGCUCCGCUGACAUCGCGCUUGUGGACAUGGACGGAGAAACCCAGCCGGCUGAUGAUGACCCAGUCUACAUUCUUCCAGGGCAAAACUGCGAUUUGUCAGACGAGAAUGUGCAAGGAUGUCAAAGUUUUGCAUCAUGCAAACUCUGAUCUGUAAAUACUUUCCCAUUCACACGUUAGGGGAAUUCGACUGGCCGACCCGAUCUUUCCUGAGUAUCCAGAAACCACUUUCUCAUAUUAGGGGAAAAUUAACGCUUGUGUGGAAUAAUUCUAAUUAAAAAAAACAAAAACAUAGAGGUAAAACAAUGCAGCUUUUUGUUACGCGGGAUAUAAGCAAUUUAAAAUUAAGGUAUUCAAUUUGUCAGAAUAAUUGCUGCUAUUAAAAUAGAUUCUUUUAAAAAUCCAAUAAAAAAUCCCAGCCCUUGCGAGAAAAGCAGCGACUGGAAGUAUUUACAAACACAACAUGAAACUUAUUAAUGUAGUUAUUCAGGAAUAACAGGGACAACGUGGAUCGAGGGGUAACAGUCACUAGCAAAGGUUGUGCUCCCUUUGGAAACAAGACAAGGAAGUGCCGUACCAUCGGACACUCACCAUGUGUGUCACACACACACUCGCCAGCCUCUUCUCACCUAAACUGGCCCGUGUCUCUGCAGAUUCAACAACCUCCUUAAAUCCGUAUUAUUUCAUCCAUAAUUUAGCAAUUGGAACGCGCAGAUAAAAUAUAUACUAUAAAUAUAUUUUAUCGAAUUGUUUUUGCUUUUUAACGUUGAUUCUUAAUUAAAAUCAAAUUCUACGCACUGGAUGGUUAUUUAUCUCGCCCAGUGAAAGAAAAAAAUAAUCACUGGAAAAAAGCUCUCCUUUUGUUUUACGCACUUUUUCUCCUACUGUGGACAAUCAUACAUCUUCGUUUCCAGGGAUAUUCUCAGUCCAAUGUUAGACUUAUUUUUUGUGAAGUAAACAUACUAAAUAAGUUUUUCCCAAUGUAGGGAAACAAAAUUAAAACUAUAUUUUUCCAUACAGACAAAUGAUAAAACAGUCUUCCCCUUUGCAGCAACAAUAGUAUGUUCCCGCCAUCCCUAAUUGUUUAUCAAUAGGAAAACCAUGUUUUAACAUGUAUUUUAACAAAAUCCAAUUGAAG